UACGUAGGGUGCAAGCGUUGUCCGGAAUUAUUGGGCGUAAAGAGCUCGUAGGCGGUUUGUUGCGUCGGCUGUGAAAUCCCGAGGCUCAACCUCGGGUCUGCAGUCGAUACGAGCAAACUAGAGUGUUGCAGGGGAGACUGGAAUUCCUGGUGUAGCGGUGAAAUGCGCAGAUAUCUGGAGGAACACCGGUGGCGAAGGCGGCAUCCUGGACCAACACUGACACUGAGGAGCGAAAGCCAGGGGAGCAAACGGG
This 253-nucleotide ribosomal RNA is filed under the name uncultured bacterium. RNAcentral's name for it is "partial 16S ribosomal RNA". It matches the Rfam family "Bacterial small subunit ribosomal RNA", at positions 524 to 776 of the family's 1533-position model. The record is from RNAcentral.